UACGGGGGGGGCAAGCGUUGUUCGGAAUUACUGGGCGUAAAGGGCUCGUAGGUGGCCAACUAAGUCAGACGUGAAAUCCCUCGGCUUAACCGGGGAACUGCGUCUGAUACUGGAUGGCUUGAGUUUGGGAGAGGGAUGCGGAAUUCCAGGUGUAGCGGUGAAAUGCGUAGAUAUCUGGAGGAACACCGGUGGCGAAGGCGGCAUCCUGGACCAACACUGACACUGAUGCGCGAAAGCCAGGGGAGCAAACGGG
RNAcentral lists this ribosomal RNA (253 nucleotides) under uncultured bacterium. RNAcentral describes it as "partial 16S ribosomal RNA". It matches the Rfam family "Bacterial small subunit ribosomal RNA", at positions 524 to 776 of the family's 1533-position model. The record is from RNAcentral.